GACGAACGCUGGCGGCGUGCCUAAUACAUGCAAGUCGAGCGAAUCAAUGGGAGCUUGCUCCCUGAGAUUAGCGGCGGACGGGUGAGUAACACGUGGGUAACCUGCCUGUAAGACUGGGAUAACUUCGGGAAACCGGAGCUAAUACCGGAUACGUUCUUUUCUCGCAUGAGAAGAGAUGGAAAGAUGGCUCUACUAUCACUUACAGAUGGACCCGCGGCGCAUUAGCUAGUUGGUGAGGUAACGGCUCACCAAGGCGACGAUGCGUAGCCGACCUGAGAGGGUGAUCGGCCACACUGGGACUGAGACACGGCCCAGACUCCUACGGGAGGCAGCAGUAGGGAAUCUUCCGCAAUGGACGAAAGUCUGACGGAGCAACGCCGCGUGAGCGAAGAAGGCCUUCGGGUCGUAAAGCUCUGUUGUUAGGGAAGAACAAGUACGAGAGUAACUGCUCGUACCUUGACGGUACCUAACCAGAAAGCCACGGCUAACUACGUGCCAGCAGCCGCCGCAG
RNAcentral lists this ribosomal RNA (511 nucleotides) under uncultured bacterium. RNAcentral's name for it is "partial 16S ribosomal RNA". It matches the Rfam family "Bacterial small subunit ribosomal RNA", at positions 28 to 523 of the family's 1533-position model. The record is from RNAcentral.